UACGUAGGGUGCAAGCGUUGUCCGGAAUUAUUGGGCGUAAAGAGCUCGUAGGCGGUCUGUUACGUCGGCUGUGAAAACCUGGGGCUCAACCCCGGGCCUGCAGCCGAUACGGGCAGACUAGAAUUCGGUAGGGGAGACUGGAAUUCUUGGUGUAGCGGUGAAAUGCGUAGAUAUCAAGAGGAACACCUGCGGCGAAGGCGGGUUGCUGGGCCGACACUGACGCUGAUGCGCGAAAGCCAGGGGAGCGAACGGG
This 253-nucleotide ribosomal RNA is filed under the name uncultured bacterium. RNAcentral's name for it is "partial 16S ribosomal RNA". It matches the Rfam family "Bacterial small subunit ribosomal RNA", at positions 524 to 776 of the family's 1533-position model. The record is from RNAcentral.